RNAcentral lists this ribosomal RNA (486 nucleotides) under uncultured bacterium. RNAcentral describes it as "partial 16S ribosomal RNA". It matches the Rfam family "Bacterial small subunit ribosomal RNA", at positions 30 to 507 of the family's 1533-position model. The record is from RNAcentral.
AUUGAACGCUGGCGGCAUGCCUUACACAUGCAAGUCGAACGGCAGCACGGGUGCUUGCACCUGGUGGCGAGUGGCGAACGGGUGAGUAAUACAUCGGAACAUGUCCUGUAGUGGGGGAUAGCCCGGCGAAAGCCGGAUUAAUACCGCAUACGAUCUACGGAUGAAAGCGGGGGACCUUCGGGCCUCGCGCUAUAGGGUUGGCCGAUGGCUGAUUAGCUAGUUGGUGGGGUAAAGGCCUACCAAGGCGACGAUCAGUAGCUGGUCUGAGAGGACGACCAGCCACACUGGGACUGAGACACGGCCCAGACUCCUACGGGAGGCAGCAGUGGGGAAUUUUGGACAAUGGGCGAAAGCCUGAUCCAGCAAUCCCGCGUGUGUGAAGAAGGCCUUCGGGUUGUAAAGCACUUUUGUCCGGAAAGAAAUCCUUGGCCCUAAUACGGUCGGGGGAUGACGGUACCGGAAGAAUAAGCACCGGCUAACUACGUG